ACCUCUUCCCUUUCCGAACAGAGAAGUUAAGCCCGAUUGCGCAGAUGGUACUGCAGUUAUGUGGGAGAGUAUGUCGCCGCCUUUC
Molecule: ribosomal RNA, 85 nt
Filed under: Flavobacterium sp.
Lineage: Bacteria; Pseudomonadati; Bacteroidota; Flavobacteriia; Flavobacteriales; Flavobacteriaceae
Source: RNAcentral